UUGUUCUUACUCCGAAAUUCGAAGCAAGGUAUGCGCCGAAUGAGUUUCCGAUCACGUUGCUCUUUGGACCGGACUGGAAUCGUGAGAGUUCGAGGCUGUUGAAAGCUGUUUUCGAUCAUUUCGAAUCGUCUCUCAUGUUCUUGUACUCGCAAGUUCGAGCCUGUUGGAUUUUAUUCUGUUCCUACGAGACAUUGUUAUCUGCCUCAUCAACGUGAUUGCGAAGUGGAGGGAGUUUGAAGGUUAUAUGCUUUAUUGCACGAUGAAUUCCAUCUGAAAUUGUUUCUCGAGGAAUUGUCUUCUACAAUUGUUUUUUGAUUUGUCGAGGAUUUGUCGAGGAAUUGUUUCUCAAUAUUUGUCGAGGAAUUGUUACCUGAUAUGUAUAAUCAAAAUGCCGAAUCUCUCCGUGCUAGAAGAACAUCUAUUGUUCGUAAAGCUGUGGCAAUGUCUGAAAUGUUGAAGGAAUCUCUGGAGAAACUCCAACAAAUGGAUCAGCUUAGAGGAUUAUUUGUAAUUGAACGAAGAGCUUUCAAGAAUUCAGAUGAAAUUUGAAUGUGGAACAGAACGUAAUUUCGCUCGAGUUGUCAAAGGAAGAACAAGUAGACGGUUGGCGAUCGACUUUUGAGCCGUUCAAGAACAACACUUCAGAUCAUGGGACCAAAAUUGGCUAGGCAGAGAGAAAAACAAGGAUGGAAGUGUUGAAUUAUUCAAGCACAUGACAAAUGUGAGUGUUGCUGAAAAGCAAGGUUUUUCAACAGAAUGAUGAUGAAACCCACAAUUGUUGGGAACUGCUUUUGCAACCGAACUCUGUUGAAUUGCAUCAUUGUCCAUUAGCAAUGUCAAGGGGAGCUUUGUCAAUUUGCGCGCUCUCUGAUUCGAUCGGAGUAUUCAAUUGAUUCCUUAACUUUGCUCGUGCACAAUGUUAACGAUCUUUGGAUGAACUAAUGCGAAUAAGUGCAAGCCUCCAUGCUC
Long non-coding RNA from Cucurbita moschata (crookneck pumpkin), 969 nucleotides. RefSeq lists it as uncharacterized. Lineage: Eukaryota; Viridiplantae; Streptophyta; Magnoliopsida; Cucurbitales; Cucurbitaceae. The transcript has 4 exons. The record is from RefSeq and is a predicted model, not a curated record.